Molecule: ribosomal RNA, 254 nt
Filed under: uncultured bacterium
Lineage: Bacteria
Description: partial 16S ribosomal RNA
Rfam family: Bacterial small subunit ribosomal RNA
Source: RNAcentral
UACGGAGGGUGCAAGCGUUAAUCGGAAUUACUGGGCGUAAAGCGCGCGUAGGCGGUUAUUUAAGUCAGAUGUGAAAGCCCCGGGCUCAACCUGGGAAUUGCAUUUGAUACUGGAUGGCUAGAGUGUGGUAGAGGUGAGUGGAAUUUCAGGUGUAGCGGUGAAAUGCGUAGAGAUCUGAAGGAACAUCAGUGGCGAAGGCGACUCACUGGGCCAUUACUGACGCUGAGGUGCGAAAGCGCGGGUAGCAAAACAGG